RNAcentral lists this ribosomal RNA (761 nucleotides) under Lactobacillus crispatus. Its description in RNAcentral is "partial 23S ribosomal RNA". It matches the Rfam family "Bacterial large subunit ribosomal RNA", at positions 1190 to 1956 of the family's 2925-position model. Lineage: Bacteria; Bacillati; Bacillota; Bacilli; Lactobacillales; Lactobacillaceae. The record is from RNAcentral.
AGUACCGAAACUGUGGAUGUGUUUUAAAGAGCACGUGGUAGGAGAGCGUUCUAAGAGCGGAGAAGUUGAAUCGAGAGGAUCAAUGGAGCGCUUAGAAGUGAGAAUGCCGGUAUGAGUAGCGAAAGAUAGGUGAGAAUCCUAUCCGCCGAAAGACUAAGGUUUCCUGGGGCAGGCUCGUCCGCCCAGGGUAAGUCGGGACCUAAGGCAAGGCCGAGAGGCGUAGUCGAUGGAUAACAGGUAGAGAUUCCUGUACUGUGUCAAAUCGUUAAGAGCGAAGGAGGGACGCAGGAGGUGAAGCACGCAUCGAGCUGGAUCGAUGUUCAAGCGACAAGUGCGGUUAAGAGUCAAAUGCUUCUAACCAGCAACACGAGUCGUGAUGAGGAGUGAAUUAAAAGUAGCGAAGGUGUGGUAAUCACACUGCCAAGAAAAGCUUCUAGCCAGAGAUGACAUACCCGUACCGCAAACCGACACAGGUAGUCGAGUGGAGAACACUAAGGUGAGCGAGAGAACUCUCGUUAAGGAACUCGGCAAAAUGACCCCGUAACUUCGGAAGAAGGGGUGCUAGCCAAGAGAUUGGUUAGCCGCAGUGAAUAGGCCCAAACAACUGUUUAUCAAAAACACAGGUCUCUGCAAAAUCGUAAGAUGACGUAUAGAGGCUGACACCUGCCCGGUGCUGGAAGGUUAAGAGGAGAGCUUAGCGUAAGCGAAGGUUUGAAUUGAAGCCCCAGUAAACGGCGGCCGUAACUAUAACGGUCCUAAGG